CCGAUUUCGGGAAAUAUAUAAACUUAGCUAUUACAAAUUGUUAUGAAAACUUUAUCUAACCCCCCUAAGUACGUAAAUGCAUUUUUGAACUCUCUCAUUGUUUAAGGAAUCUCGCUAUGCAGUAAAUGUGAACUCCCCAGCUCCACUUUGGCUUACUUUUGAGUUUAUUGAUACUUCUGAUCACCUCCUCGAAACUUGGUGCUCGUAAACCUCUCUCCCUGAUCGAGAUGGCUCCGUUAUUUGGCUUGCCAUUCCCUCGUCA
Molecule: long non-coding RNA, 262 nt
Filed under: Brassica napus (rape)
Lineage: Eukaryota; Viridiplantae; Streptophyta; Magnoliopsida; Brassicales; Brassicaceae
Description: long non-coding RNA (BNAP_LNC005662)
Source: RNAcentral